RNAcentral lists this long non-coding RNA (618 nucleotides) under Ananas comosus (pineapple). RNAcentral's name for it is "long non-coding RNA (ACOM_LNC029905)". The record is from RNAcentral. Lineage: Eukaryota; Viridiplantae; Streptophyta; Magnoliopsida; Poales; Bromeliaceae.
UAUAUAUAUAUAUAUAUAUAGAGAGAGAGAGAGAGAGAGAGAGAGAGAGAGAGAGAGAGAGAGAGAGAGAGUUAGGCUGGUAUACUAUCGGUACGUAGCACGUAGGUCUCCGUGCUACCAAGUUGUUUUCAAUGAUGUGGCUUCCAAAUCGACGAUCGGUUCUGUUAGACUUGAUAUACACUAUUAAAAGUAUUUAAAAACUAAAUUUCAUAAUUUGUUGACAUCUUUUGGCUAGUGAUCAAGUAUUUGAAAACUAAAUUUCAUAAUUUGUUGACAUCUUUUGGCUAGUGAUAAAAAGGUCUCAAAAUUGACAAUUUUAAUGGUAGAUAUGAUGCGUUUGUGAAUUUAACGGUGUAAAACAAUCGAAAUCUGAUAAAAUUUUUAUAAAAAAUUCUUUUCACUAUUUAGAGUAAGAUCAAUAUCUCUGAUCUUAAAUUCAAGUCUUUUAUCAUCGUUUUUUAUAAUAUUUUUAUUUUCAGCCAUUCAUUUUUAGACUGCUCGUUUGAUAGGUAAAUUAUGUCGAAAAAUUAUGAAAUUUAGUUUUCAAAUACUUUCAAUAGUGUAAAUCACAUCUUAGAUUAGUGGUGAAGCUGAGUACUUGGAAUUAAUUAAGUACUA